CAGGCCUAACACAUGCAAGUCGAACGAAGAGCGAUGGAAGCUUGCUUCUAUCAAUCUUAGUGGCGAACGGGUGAGUAACGCGUAAUCAACCUGCCCUUCAGAGGGGGACAACAGUUGGAAACGACUGCUAAUACCGCAUACGAUCCAACCUCGGCAUCGAGGAUGGAUGAAAGGUGGCCUCUAUUUAUAAGCUAUCACUGAAGGAGGGGAUUGCGUCUGAUUAGCUAGUUGGAGGGGUAACGGCCCACCAAGGCAAUGAUCAGUAGCCGGUCUGAGAGGAUGAACGGCCACAUUGGGACUGAGACACGGCCCAGACUCCUACGGGAGGCAGCAGUGGGGAAUCUUCCGCAAUGGACGAAAGUCUGACGGAGCAACGCCGCGUGAGUGAUGACGGCCUUCGGGUUGUAAAGCUCUGUUAAUCGGGACGAAAGGUCCUCUUGCGAAUAGUUAGAGGAAUUGACGGUACCGGAAUAGAAAGCCACGGCUAACUACGUGCCAGCAGCCGCGGUAAUACGUAGGUGGCAAGCGUUGUCCGGAAUUAUUGGGCGUAAAGCGCGCGCAGGCGGAUCAGUCAGUCUGUCUUAAAAGUUCGGGGCUUAACCCCGUGAUGGGAUGGAAACUGCUGAUCUAGAGUAUCGGAGAGGAAAGUGGAAUUCCUAGUGUAGCGGUGAAAUGCGUAGAUAUUAGGGAGAACACCAGUGGCGAAGGCGACUUUCUGGACGAAAACUGACGCUGAGGCGCGAAAGCCAG
This 750-nucleotide ribosomal RNA is filed under the name uncultured bacterium. Its description in RNAcentral is "bacterial SSU rRNA". It matches the Rfam family "Bacterial small subunit ribosomal RNA", at positions 43 to 763 of the family's 1533-position model. The record is from RNAcentral.